CGCGGCUUCCCGAUCGGUUCCCGAGGGUCCCGGACACAGGGAGCAGGGAGAGGCGCGCCCGCCUCCGGAAGAGGUCGGCAGCUGCUUGGGGUGGGGAGACGAAUCAUCUGCGCCCCGACGCACCCACGCCCGAAUCCCCUCCCCACGCCCACACCUCCCCAGGUCCGAGCCCACUCCAGGCCGAAGGCGAGGGCACGGACCCACAUUUCCCUCCCGCAGUACCACCGCCCGCCCAAGCCCGACUUCAGCCUGGACCCCGAUAACCCAGUUACCCGUGUAUUUGGAUGUUUGUGCCCCAGAAAGCGAAGACUUGGACACGACUGAGCGACUUCACUUUCAUGCAUUGGAGAAAGAAAUGGCAACCCACUCCAGUGUUCUUGCCUGGAGAAUCCGAGGGAUGGCAGAGCCUGGUGGGCUGCCGUCUAUGGGGUCGCACAGAGUCGGACACUACUGAAGCGACUUAGCAGCAGCAGCAGCAGCAGCAGCCCCAGAAAGCAGGGCUGUGAGUUCUUGACAUAAUAAUGACCAACACCGACACCACCAGACCACUGUGCAGUGAGCUCGUGUACACA
Long non-coding RNA from Bubalus bubalis (water buffalo), 572 nucleotides. RefSeq lists it as uncharacterized. The record is from RefSeq and is a predicted model, not a curated record. The transcript is spliced from 2 exons. NCBI's taxonomy places the organism in Eukaryota, Metazoa, Chordata, Mammalia, Artiodactyla, Bovidae.